GUGAAUCAUCAAAUUUUUGAACGCAAAUUGCACUCUCCGGUUUUCCGGGAGAGGAUGCCUGUUUAAGGGUCAGCCUAAAAAAAAUCUACAUUGUUGCUGUUUUAUGGUGACUUUCGUCGGAGCUUCGUUAUCUUAAAUCUCGGUGUAAGCGACUUAAAAAUUUUUUUUACGAUUCUAAGAUUU
RNAcentral lists this unclassified non-coding RNA (183 nucleotides) under Glomeraceae sp. RNAcentral describes it as "partial contains 5.8S ribosomal RNA and internal transcribed spacer 2". The stretch from base 1 to 72 matches the Rfam family "5.8S ribosomal RNA", at positions 84 to 154 of the family's 154-position model. Lineage: Eukaryota; Fungi; Glomeromycota; Glomeromycetes; Glomerales; Glomeraceae. The record is from RNAcentral.